Molecule: small RNA, 540 nt
Filed under: Pongo abelii (Sumatran orangutan)
Lineage: Eukaryota; Metazoa; Chordata; Mammalia; Primates; Hominidae
Description: processed transcript
Source: RNAcentral
GCUCUUGCUUGCUUGCACUGAUGAAGUAAGCUGCCACGUUGUGAGAUGCUCUACGAAGAGGCCCAUGAGGCAGGGCACCGAGGGAGGCUUCUGGCCAACAGCUCCUGGGGAACUAAGGCCUUAGGAAGCGAGUCCUGCCAACAAUAACCAGAGCCUUGAACUUUGGAACCACAGUGCCUUGUUCCAGCGCGGAAAGCAGCGUGGCACUUCCCUGUGGUGAAAGCACCCCAGCUUGAAAGGGUAAAAACACCUUCUCCCAGAUAGUCUCCCUUUGUUUAGCCAGUGCUUUUUGCCAGUGGUCACCUUAAGGAAAUCAAACGAAGAUUUGAGGCUUAAGCAACUUCUUCCGGGGAAAAGUGCCAGUGCAGCCGCUGUUGCAAUUCAAGAUCUUGAUCUAUAUCCAUAGAUUGGAAUAUUGGUGGGCCAGCAAUCCUCAGACACCUCACUUAGGACAGAUGAGGAAACUGAGGCUUGGUGAAGUUACGAAACUUGUCCAAAAUCACACAACUUGUAAAGGGCACAGCCAAGAUUCAGAGCCAG